RNA transcript from Salvia hispanica, 641 nucleotides. It is a transcript of the gene named aspartate aminotransferase, chloroplastic-like, with no coding region annotated. The record is from RefSeq and is a predicted model, not a curated record. Lineage: Eukaryota; Viridiplantae; Streptophyta; Magnoliopsida; Lamiales; Lamiaceae.
GUUUGCCUCUUCACCUCUUUUGUAACUCCCAUUCCAUUAAGUGAGGGGGGAUAAAUUUGCGGCCUCGCUUGGCAUUAAAGCAAACUCUGGCGGGGGACCCAGGCGACGAACAGUGCAGACCGUGGCGCAGAAAGAUCUUAUUUUUCUCGCCGCAAUCGAUAACUAUGGCGUUCGAAUUUAGUUGGGUUUCGCUUAUGAAGGUUUCGCUAUUUCUGCUGCUGAUUGGGGCUAUUUUAGUUGCUUGCUUCACCCUCCCUGUCGAGAAGAGCAGAUACUCGUGAAAUGAAGCUUAACCUGGGCGUUGGUGCCUAUCGGACUGAAGAUCUACAGCCGUAUGUGCUCGAUGUUGUGAAGAAAAAUUUGUAGGCAGAAAAUCUUAUUAUGCAAAAGGGAGAGAACAAAGAGUACUAUCUGCCAAUCGAAGGUUUGGCUGCAUUCAACAAGACUACAGCUGAACUAUUAUUUGGAGCAGAAAGCUCUGUUCCUCAGCAACAAAAAGUAAUGGAUGAAGUCCUAUUCUUGUGACUAAGAAUUAAGAAUCUCCAAUUAUCCAAGUUGAAGUAAAUAUAAUCAUAUCAGAAUUAGAAUAUUGUAAUAAUGCUAUUUAAAAAUUACAUUUAAUGUUACCGCUGUUAUGUAAU